CCUACGGGGUGCAGCAGUGAGGAAUAUUGGUCAAUGGACGAGAGUCUGAACCAGCCAAGUAGCGUGAAGGAUGACUGCCCUAUGGGUUGUAAACUUCUUUUAUAAAGGAAUAAAACGAGGCACGUGUGCCUUUUUGCAUGUACUUUAUGAAUAAGGAUCGGCUAACUCCGUGCCAGCAGCCGCGGUAAUACGGAGGAUCCGAGCGUUAUCCGGAUUUGUUGGGUUUAAAGGGAGCGUAGAUGGGUUGUUAAGUCAGUUGUGAAAGUUUGCGGCUCAACCGUAAAAUUGCAAUUGAUACUGGCAGUCUUGAGUACAGUUGAGGUAGGCGGAAUUCGUGGUGUAGCGGUGAAAUGCUUAGAUAUCACGAAGAACCCCGAUUGCGAAGGCAGCUUACUAAACUGUGACUGACAUUGAUGCUCGAAAGUGUGGGUAUCAAACAGGAUUAGAUACCCCGGUAGUC
This 460-nucleotide ribosomal RNA is filed under the name uncultured bacterium. RNAcentral's name for it is "partial 16S ribosomal RNA". It matches the Rfam family "Bacterial small subunit ribosomal RNA", at positions 338 to 795 of the family's 1533-position model. The record is from RNAcentral.